This is a small nucleolar RNA of Arvicola amphibius (Eurasian water vole), 145 nucleotides long. RefSeq annotates it as small nucleolar RNA SNORA31. The transcript has a single exon. The record is from RefSeq and is a predicted model, not a curated record. Lineage: Eukaryota; Metazoa; Chordata; Mammalia; Rodentia; Cricetidae.
GAGCGAGUACCAGGACAGGCCCCAAAGUUACAGAGAAACCCUGUCUUGAAAAAAUAAAGAAGUUUGCGCUAGGUUGCCAAAGAAAAUGCUCCCGCGCUUCCUGUCUGUCUCUGUGGCAGUCCAGAUUGAAUUGGAGAGUACAUGU